RNAcentral lists this ribosomal RNA (450 nucleotides) under uncultured bacterium. RNAcentral describes it as "bacterial SSU rRNA". It matches the Rfam family "Bacterial small subunit ribosomal RNA", at positions 62 to 507 of the family's 1533-position model. The record is from RNAcentral.
UCGAGCGGAUGACGGGAGCUUGCUCCUUGAUUCAGCGGCGGACGGGUGAGUAAUGCCUAGGAAUCUGCCUGGUAGUGGGGGACAACGUUUCGAAAGGAACGCUAAUACCGCAUACGUCCUACGGGAGAAAGCAGGGGACCUUCGGGCCUUGCGCUAUCAGAUGAGCCUAGGUCGGAUUAGCUAGUUGGUGGGGUAAUGGCUCACCAAGGCGACGGUCCGUAACUGGUCUGAGAGGAUGAUCAGUCACACUGGAACUGAGACACGGUCCAGACUCCUACGGGAGGCAGCAGUGGGGAAUAUUGGACAAUGGGCGAAAGCCUGAUCCAGCCAUGCCGCGUGUGUGAAGAAGGUCUUCGGAUUGUAAAGCACUUUAAGUUGGGAGGAAGGGCAGUAAGCUAAUACCUUGCUGUUUUGACGUUACCGACAGAAUAAGCACCGGCUAACUCUGUG